Molecule: ribosomal RNA, 559 nt
Filed under: Pristimantis lutitus (Rio Luisito robber frog)
Lineage: Eukaryota; Metazoa; Chordata; Amphibia; Anura; Strabomantidae
Description: partial 16S ribosomal RNA
Rfam family: Bacterial large subunit ribosomal RNA
Source: RNAcentral
CGCCUCCUGUUAAUUACAUAGGAGGUCCAGCCUGCCCAGUGACCUCAAGUUCAACGGCCGCGGUAUCCUAACCGUGCGAAGGUAGCGUAAUCACUUGUUUUCUAAAUAAAGACUAGUAUGAAAGGCACCACGAGGGCUAAGCUGUCUCCCCCUUCUAAUCAGUGAACCUAACCUCCCCGUGAAAAGGCGGGGAUUAAAUUAUAAGACGAGAAGACCCUAUGGAGCUUAAAACAUUACUACAUGUGCCCACACAUCGCUCAAGAGCUCUAACCACACGCACAAUGUAGAUAUGUUUUAGGUUGGGGUGACCACGGAGAAAAAUUUAUCCUCCGUAAUGAAAUAACCACUUUUAACAACAAGCCACAACUUUAUGUAUCAACAAAUUGACAUCCAUUGACCCAAUAUAUUGAUUAAUGAACCAAGUUACCCUAGGGAUAACAGCGCAAUCCACUUUAAGAGCCCCUAUCGACAAGUGGGCUUACGACCUCGAUGUUGGAUCAGGGUACCCAAGUGGUGCAACCGCUACUAAAGGCUCGUUUGUUCAACGAUUAAAACCCUA